GAUGAAGAACGCAGCGAAUUGCGAUAUGUAAUGUGAAUUGCAGAAUUCAGUGAAUCAUCGAAUCUUUGAACGCACCUUGCACCCUCUGGUAUUCCGGAGGGUAUGCCUGUUUGAGUGUCAUUAUCACCCCUCAAGCUCAGCUUGGUGUUGGGGCCGGCCCGUCACAGGGCCGCCCCUAAAAGCAGUGGCGGUGCCAUCUGGCUCUACGCGUAGUAAUACUCCUCGCGACAGAGUCCCGGUGGUGUCCUGCCAGAACCCCCCAUCUUUUUAAUGAUUGACCUCGGAUCAGGUAGGGAUACCCGCUGAACUUAAGCAUAUCAAUAAGCGGAGGA
Molecule: unclassified non-coding RNA, 332 nt
Filed under: soil metagenome
Description: partial contains 5.8S ribosomal RNA, internal transcribed spacer 2, and large subunit ribosomal RNA
Rfam family: 5.8S ribosomal RNA (bases 1-120)
Source: RNAcentral